CCUACGGGUGGCUGCAGUAGGGAAUAUUGCACAAUGGGCGAAAGCCUGAUGCAGCAACGCCGCGUGCGCGAAGAAGGCCUUCGGGUCGUAAAGCGCUUUUCUGAGAGAUGAGAAAGGACAGUAUCUCAGGAAUAAGUCUCGGCUAACUACGUGCCAGCAGCCGCGGUAAAACGUAGGAGGCAAGCGUUAUCCGGAUUCACUGGGCGUAAAGCGCGUGCAGGCGGUUCGGUAAGUUGGGCGUGAAAUCUCCUGGCUAAACUGGGAGAGGUCGUCCAAUACUACCGGACUAGAGAGCAGUAGAGGAAGAUGGAAUUCCCGGUGUAGGGGUAAAAUGCGUAGAUAUCGGGAGGACCACCAGUGGCGAAGGCGGUCUUCUGGACUGUUUCUG
RNAcentral lists this ribosomal RNA (388 nucleotides) under uncultured Anaerolineae bacterium. RNAcentral describes it as "partial 16S ribosomal RNA". It matches the Rfam family "Bacterial small subunit ribosomal RNA", at positions 338 to 742 of the family's 1533-position model. The record is from RNAcentral. Lineage: Bacteria; Bacillati; Chloroflexota; Anaerolineae.